Molecule: long non-coding RNA, 1004 nt
Organism: Drosophila subpulchrella
Lineage: Eukaryota; Metazoa; Arthropoda; Insecta; Diptera; Drosophilidae
Exons: 4
Source: RefSeq, a predicted model, not a curated record
UAAACUAUCGGUCAUCACUAAUGACAAAAACGUAAACAAACCAACAAAACUACAAAUAAUGACGGAAAAAUGGAUUACAUUUGGUGGCUAUCGGUGACCUAGCCAAGCGCUCCCACCCAACCAUGGGUGCCCUCGAGAUGCUGCAGGGCACCACCCAUUCUCUGUCGGCAGGAGCCCCCUCCUCGCGACUACGACGGUUCCAUCUCCCCCACUGGGAAAGUUUACUCACACAUUGUGUAUAUUACAAAGGUUUAAUAAAUAUCCCUUUAAGACCGAAACCUGGCCGCCGUCUUCAACAUUUACGCGGUCAAAGCAGAGGAUUUUGUUUUGCUGGAAAAGGGUACACGCGUAACGGAAACUAUGCUCUACCAGUCAUGUAUUGGUAGAGCUCGCAUGGAAACGCGGCCCUCAAAGGAACAUACGCGAUGCGUAUGUGUAUGGUCACCUAAUCCUGAGGAGCUCCAAGGGAAAAGAAGGGACAGGCCGAAAAGGCAAACAACGAGGACAAAUAAGGCUCUCGGGACUAACUCCGGAUAAAUUCACAAACAGUUAACCACUAUUGGGCCGGGCCUGGAGGCAAUGAUAGCCCGGGCGGAAGACCUUUCGCCGGAGGCCAGCAGUGAUCCGGAUCUCCACACAGGACAAAGGCGCUCUCCGGUGAGUUAUGCAAUGGCAGUCCGAGAUUCGGCUGCCAGACAAAAUGGCGAUCCUUCUCAGCGCCGCAAUGCGACCGCUGGAAGUUCCCGAGAGGAGGAUGACGCGGUAUGCCGGAACGGACUCACCGGGAAAUGUUGACGUCGUCGUCGACUGUGAAGGCUCCUCUUGCUGGUCGCUGAUACGGGUCGAACGGACACCGUUUGCUGGGCAUCCAAGUCGGACUCGCAGGUAUGGCGAAGUAUGCGAUGUCGGUAAAACUCCAAAUAAAUCUUCCGGGGCCCUUUGUAUUGGGACCCCGGUUGCCUUCAUAAAUAAUAAAUAUUACACACUGAACUACUAUACUUUAA